Molecule: ribosomal RNA, 483 nt
Filed under: uncultured bacterium
Lineage: Bacteria
Description: partial 16S ribosomal RNA
Rfam family: Bacterial small subunit ribosomal RNA
Source: RNAcentral
GACGAACGCUGGCGGCGUGCUUAACACAUGCAAGUCGAACGCUGAAGCUCAGCUUUUGUUGGGUGGAUGAGUGGCGAACGGGUGAGUAACACGUGAGUAACCUGCCCCCUUCUUUGGGAUAACGCCCGGAAACGGGUGCUAAUACUGGAUAUUCACUGGUCUUCGCAUGGGGGUUGGUGGAAAGGGUUUUUCUGGUGGGGGAUGGGCCCGCGGCCUAUCAGCUUGUUGGUGGGGUGAUGGCCUACCAAGGCUUUGACGGGUAGCCGGCCUGAGAGGGUGACCGGUCACAUUGGGACUGAGAUACGGCCCAGACUCCUACGGGAGGCAGCAGUGGGGCCUCUUGCCCCCUGGGCGCCCGCCUGCUGCAGCGACGCCGCGUGAGGGAUGGAGGCCUUCGGGUUGUGAACCUCUUUCGCUCAUGGUCAAGCCGCAACCCUGGUUGUGGUGAGGGUAGUGGGUAAAGAAGCGCCGGCUCACUACGUG